Molecule: ribosomal RNA, 494 nt
Filed under: uncultured bacterium
Lineage: Bacteria
Description: partial 16S ribosomal RNA
Rfam family: Bacterial small subunit ribosomal RNA
Source: RNAcentral
GACGAACGCUGGCGGCGUGCUUAACACAUGCAAGUCGAACGGAAAGGCCUGCUUUCCCUUGUGGAUUGCGGGUACUCGAGUGGCGAACGGGUGAGUAACACGUGAGUGAUCUGCCCCCAACUUGGGUAUAAGCCUGGGAAACUGGGUCUAAUUCCCGAUAGGACUGCAGGGUGGUGCCUGUGGUGGAGAACGAUUUUCUAGUGGUUGGGGAUGAGCUGGCGGCCUAUCGGCUUGUUGGUGGGGUAGUGGACUACCAAGGCGGCGACCGGUAGCCGGCCUGGGAGGGUGGACGUCGACAUUGGGACUGAGACACGGCCCAGACUCCGACGGGAGGCAGCAGUGGGGAAUAUUGCACAAUGGGCGGAAGCCUGAUGCAGCGACGCCGCGUGGGGGAUGACGGCCUUCGGGUUGUAAACUCCUUUCGACCGCGAGGAAGCCACCUGGUUGGAAGGGUGGUGACGGUAGUGGUAGAAGAAGCACCGGCUAACUACGUG